CAUCAUCUAAUCAUGAAGCAUCAGCUCACAUGGUGUCCGUCCUCAAAGAGACCAAAACAAGGUAAAGGUCCAUGACGUGAGGUCUGGAUGUGGACCACAUGACUCCCUGUAGUGGUUUAGGUCUACUGGUCCUGCUGGUCCCCACUGACAAUCAACAGCUCAGUCUUUCAGCUCACUGUUUUCUUCACCAGUCAGUUUGGUUUAGUCCCAACAGGUCUCGCCAAGUCCUCCAUGGAGCUCUCCCUCCAUCACUGGACACUGCUGAAGGGCCCUGGAGCAAGAAACCCAGAACCUCCACCAGAGAGUCUGGUAGAAACACCUCAUCAUCAGCCUGAGACCCUCACCUUGCAUCAACAGAGGGACCAACAUCUUUGAAGUUUAGAGGAGGAUCCAUAGACCGGUUACUCUUCAUGGACACACAGCUGGGUCCAGGUCCAGGUCCUGGUCUCUGAUGGGUCCUGGUCACACAUGUAGAAGCAGAGUCAGUGAGUCAGAGACGUUGGGACAUGGAGACGAGUGGAGGACAGUUGGAGAUGGUCCUCUCACCUCUGAGCUUUGGUCUGGCUGUCAUGUUCCCCACACAGAGGGGCUUCAGAGGGAGGGACUCCGUCCUCUGGGUCCUCAGCCUGAUUCAUAGCAGAGUCCACACCUUCACACCUUCAUUACAUCACAUGUCAAUUAGCUGACGCUAAUUAGCCGCUUUACAACUUGCUGUAGAUAAGAACCAUUAUAAGUCCAAUGUAAGUGGUACAGUUAGUGUGUUAGUGGAGGUAGAGUCUGAAGAGGUGUGUCUUUAGUCUGAAGAUGUGAAGGCUCUCUGUGGUCCUGAUGUCUUCAGAGACCUCCUUCCACCAUUUAGGAGCAGGACAGCAAAGAGUGGAGAUCUAGUCGAGUGUUUUGCUCUCAGUGAGGAGGAACAAGCAGUUUAUCACAUGCAGAGCGGAGAGUGCGGGUCGGGGUGUCGGGUUGGACCAGGUCCUGGAUGUAAGCUGGACCCCAUCCAUUCACAGCACGGUACGUGAGCACCAUGUUUAGAGGACUUAGGAAGGUUAAAGAGCAGUGGAGCUGCUGCAUUGUGGAUGAGCUGCAGAGGUGGAAUGGUGGUAGCAGGAGACCUGCAGGAGAGAGUUACAGUAGUCAGACUGACGACGCUUCAUGAAUGAGACCAAUGAAUAAAAUGCAUUUAGUGUCCACCAGGAUACAGCCCUGAUUCUGACACUAUGUG
Molecule: long non-coding RNA, 1225 nt
Organism: Gasterosteus aculeatus aculeatus (three-spined stickleback)
Lineage: Eukaryota; Metazoa; Chordata; Actinopteri; Perciformes; Gasterosteidae
Source: Ensembl